RNAcentral lists this ribosomal RNA (493 nucleotides) under uncultured bacterium. Its description in RNAcentral is "bacterial SSU rRNA". It matches the Rfam family "Bacterial small subunit ribosomal RNA", at positions 30 to 507 of the family's 1533-position model. The record is from RNAcentral.
AUGAACGCUAGCGGAGGCUUAAUACAUGCAAGUUGAGGGGCAGCAUGAUAUACGCGAGUAUAUUGAUGGCGACCGGCGGACGGGUGAGUAAUAGGUAGGAGACCUACCUCAUACAGGGGGAUAGCAUAGAGAAAUCUGUGGUAAUACCCCAUGAGGUUAUAUGAAUAGAGGCAUAUAAUCAAAGCAUAAGCGAUUAUGCGGUAUGAGAGGGGCCUACUGACCAUUAGCUAGUUGGUGAGGUAAGGGCUCACCAAGGCGAAGAUGGUUAGGGGUUUUGAGAGAGAGACCCCCCACAUUGGAACUGAGAGACGGUCCAGACUCCUACGGGAGGCAGCAGUAGGGAAUAUUGGGCAAUGGGCGAAAGCCUGACCCAGCCAUGCCGCGUGAAGGAAGACGGCCUUAUGGGUUGUAAACUUCUUUACUACGCGAAUAGAGGUUAGUACGAGAUACUAAUAGGAAGGUAGUGUAGUAAAAAGCACCGGCUAACUCCGUG